UCCAAACCUCAGCAUAGCUGUAAGACUUCAGGUGUCUGUGAGCAUGACUCUCCUUUGGCUGUUUCCUGCCUAUUUUAGUUAAAAAGAGCAUCAUGAGACAGCAUUGUCCCUAACCCUAACUGGAGUCUAGGUGACUUCCACCUUCUGAAAUAGUGAGCAGAUGUGCCUGUCCUUGGGCUUCAAAACUGGGUGCUGCAUUCUUCAGCAGUAGUUCUGAGCUGGAACCUGGAGCGCACCAAGGAAGGGGAGAAGAAAGUGAAGGAAGCAGAAACCACCUAAAAGCAUUGAAGGAGAGAUGGGAAGACUGAACAUCAAACGUCCUGCCUUUCUCAAGGAACUGCAAGUGGGGUACCAUUCUAGACUGAUUUAAUAGCUGUUACUGGAUGACAGUAAUGAAAGUAAUUCAAGAUUAGUGCUUUUGGAGUGAGCACUUCCGGGUUUUUAAAAGAAUGCCUUUGGAGCUUAAAGAACUUAUUUAGGAAAGGAGCCUCGGUGAAGAAGAGGGGUUCUCAGUGUGAUACCCUCUGCGCCCAGCGAAGAUUUGCAAGUCAAACCUCAUUUGCAUCUAAUUUCUCAGAAUACAAGUCACAACAGAUUACUUCGAGGCGAAAAAUUCUAAAGGCUCUUGGAAAUCUCUUUGAUUACACCAGGACAAAGAAAACCAAGGAAGGAAAUAAAGUGGGAUUUAAAACCAAGCCCUACAUGUGAAUGUACAGGAGUUGACACAUCGACAGGAAUUCUAGUGAAGGACCAUGGACCAUCAUGCUCCGCCCAUUUUGACUCAAUAUGCUAAUGACAUGUUAGAUGAGCUCCCUUCAGGCCUGUUCCCUGGCUCCUGGCUAGGGAACACCAGCAAAAUGUGAUGAUGCAAAAAAAUGAUACAUACUUUUAAUGCUAGCCCUGGGCUAGCUGAGGCAGAGGAUCAAGUUGGAGGCCAGCCUGGGCUUCAUAGCACAAUCCUGUCUCCAAAAGGAAACAAAAAAGACCAGUGACACGGUAGACGUACGAUCAUGGAUGGACGACUCAGCUUUCACACCAUCGCUUUCAAGCCUGUUACCCGUGCUCCAUCCCUUACAGCUGGGUCUCAGCUAGCAGGAGAUGAGAGGGUGUGAGGACAACAUGCCCCAUGCUUUAAGGUUGCCUUUCCACUGUGUAUCCUAGUCAUAAACCUGGGUUACCUGGUCUCAGCUUGUUACAAGGAAUGUUAGGAAAUGUGGCCUUUUUCUCUGGUCAGUAUGGCUUUAAAAACCUCCAUAAAUACACAAUACACCAUAAAUAUACAAACA
Long non-coding RNA from Mastomys coucha (southern multimammate mouse), 1286 nucleotides. RefSeq lists it as uncharacterized. The transcript is spliced from 3 exons. Lineage: Eukaryota; Metazoa; Chordata; Mammalia; Rodentia; Muridae. The record is from RefSeq and is a predicted model, not a curated record.